GUCUAUGGCCAUGCCGCCCUGAACAAGCCCGAUGUCUGAUCUCAGAAGCUAAGCAGGGUCGGGCCUGGUUAGUACUUGGAUGGGAGACCACCUAGGAAGGCUAGGUGCUGUAGGCA
This 116-nucleotide ribosomal RNA is filed under the name Pteropus alecto (black flying fox). Lineage: Eukaryota; Metazoa; Chordata; Mammalia; Chiroptera; Pteropodidae. The record is from RNAcentral.